This 459-nucleotide ribosomal RNA is filed under the name uncultured Pelotomaculum sp. RNAcentral describes it as "bacterial SSU rRNA". It matches the Rfam family "Bacterial small subunit ribosomal RNA", at positions 925 to 1382 of the family's 1533-position model. The record is from RNAcentral. Lineage: Bacteria; Bacillati; Bacillota; Clostridia; Eubacteriales; Desulfotomaculaceae.
ACAAGCGGUGGAGUAUGUGGUUUAAUUCGAAGCAACGCGAAGAACCUUACCAGGGCUUGACAUCCCCUGACCGCGUAUGAAAGUACGUUUUCACCCUCGGGUGACAGGGAGACAGGUGGUGCAUGGUUGUCGUCAGCUCGUGUCGUGAGAUGUUGGGUUAAGUCCCGCAACGAGCGCAACCCCUACAUUUAGUUGCUAACGCGUGAAGGCGAGCACUCUAGACGAACUGCCGUUGACAAAACGGAGGAAGGUGGGAUGACGUCAAAUCAUCAUGCCCCUUAUGUUCUGGGCUACACACGUGCUACAAUGGCCGGUACAGACGGACGCAAAGCCGCGAGGUGGAGCAAAUCCUAAAAAGCCGGUCUCAGUUCGGAUUGCAGGCUGCAAUUCGCCUGCAUGAAGUCGGAAUCGCUAGUAAUCGCAGGUCAGCAUACUGCGGUGAAUACGUUCCCGGGCCUU